Molecule: ribosomal RNA, 435 nt
Filed under: uncultured bacterium
Lineage: Bacteria
Description: partial 16S ribosomal RNA
Rfam family: Bacterial small subunit ribosomal RNA
Source: RNAcentral
AGCGAACGCUGGCGGCAGGCCUAACACAUGCAAGUCGAACGAACCUUUCGGGGUUAGUGGCGGACGGGUGAGUAACACGUGGGAACGUGCCUUUAGGUUCGGAAUAACUCAGGGAAACUUGUGCUAAUACCGAAUGUGCCCUUCGGGGGAAAGAUUAAUCGCCUUUAGAGCGGCCCGCGUCUGAUUAGCUAGUUGGUUGAGGUAAUGGCUCACCAAGGCGACGAUCAGUAGCUGGUCUGAGAGGAUGAUCAGCCACAUUGGGACUGAGACACGGCCCAAACUCCUACGGGAGGCAGCAGUGGGGAAAUCUUGCGCAAUGGGCGAAAGCCUGACGCAGCCAUGCCGCGUGAAUGAUGAAGGUCUUAGGAUUGUAAAAUUCUUUCACCGGGGACGAUAAUGACGGUACCCGGAGAAGAAGCCCCGGCUAACUUCGUG